This 496-nucleotide ribosomal RNA is filed under the name uncultured bacterium. Its description in RNAcentral is "partial 16S ribosomal RNA". It matches the Rfam family "Bacterial small subunit ribosomal RNA", at positions 28 to 506 of the family's 1533-position model. The record is from RNAcentral.
GAUGAACGCUGGCGGCGUGCCUAAUACAUGCAAGUCGAGCGAACGGACGAGAAGCUUGCUUCUCUGAUGUUAGCGGCGGACGGGUGAGUAACACGUGGAUAACCUACCUAUAAGACUGGGAUAACUUCGGGAAACCGUAGCUAAUACCGGAUAAUAUUUUGAACCGCAUGGUUCAAAAGUGAAAGACGGUCUUGCUGUCACUUAUAGAUGGAUCCGCGCUGCAUUAGCUAGUUGGUAAGGUAACGGCUUACCAAGGCAACGAUGCAUAGCCGACCUGAGAGGGUGAUCGGCCACACUGGAACUGAGAACCGGUCCAGCCCCCUACGGGGGGCAGCAGUAGGGAAUCUUCCGCAAUGGGCGAAAGCCUGACGGAGCAACGCCGCGGGAGUGAUGAAGGUCUUCGGAUCGUAAAACUUUUUUAUUAGGGAAGAACAUAUGUGUAAGUAACUGUGCACAUCUUGACGGUACCUAAUCAAAAAGCCACGGCUAACUACGU